ACUUUUUUAAUAUAAUUAAUAUAGAUGACUUCCACUCAUCCAAUCCUAUUUUAAACCUAGGAAAAAGUA
Molecule: transfer RNA, 69 nt
Filed under: Acanthodactylus guineensis (Guinea fringe-fingered lizard)
Lineage: Eukaryota; Metazoa; Chordata; Lepidosauria; Squamata; Lacertidae
Description: tRNA-Gly
Source: RNAcentral